GCUAGGCAUGGUGUCGUGUGCCUGUGAUCCCAGCUACGCAGGAGGCUGAGGUAUGAGGGCUGCUUGAGUCCAGGAGUUUGAGGCUGCAUUGAGCUGUGAUGGCACCACUGCAUUCUAGCCUGGGCAACAGAGCAGGACCCUGUCUCUU
This 148-nucleotide non-coding RNA is filed under the name Gorilla gorilla gorilla (western lowland gorilla). Lineage: Eukaryota; Metazoa; Chordata; Mammalia; Primates; Hominidae. The record is from Rfam by way of RNAcentral.